CGUGCCUUGAGCGCAGCCUGAGCCAGCAAUGCCGCGUGAGUGAUGAGGCCUUCGGGUUGUAAACGCGCUUUUAUCUGGGACGAAAAUGACGGUAGCCGGAGAAGAAGGCCCGGCUAACUCCGUGCCAGCAGCCGCGGUAAUAAA
This 144-nucleotide ribosomal RNA is filed under the name uncultured Methylobacterium sp. RNAcentral's name for it is "partial 16S ribosomal RNA". It matches the Rfam family "Bacterial small subunit ribosomal RNA", at positions 365 to 527 of the family's 1533-position model. The record is from RNAcentral. Lineage: Bacteria; Pseudomonadati; Pseudomonadota; Alphaproteobacteria; Hyphomicrobiales; Methylobacteriaceae.